This 484-nucleotide ribosomal RNA is filed under the name uncultured bacterium. RNAcentral describes it as "partial 16S ribosomal RNA". It matches the Rfam family "Bacterial small subunit ribosomal RNA", at positions 30 to 507 of the family's 1533-position model. The record is from RNAcentral.
AUUGAACGCUGGCGGCAGGCCUAACACAUGCAAGUCGAGCGGAUGAAGGGAGCUUGCUCCUGGAUUCAGCGGCGGACGGGUGAGUAAUGCCUAGGAAUCUGCCUGGUCGUGGGGGAUAACGUCCGGAAACGGGCGCUAAUACCGCAUACGUCCUGAGGGAGAAAGUGGGGGAUCUUCGGACCUCACGCUAUCAGAUGAGCCUAGGUCGGAUUAGCUAGUUGGUGGGGUAAAGGCCUACCAAGGCGACGCUCCGUAACUGGUCUGAGAGGAUGAUCAGUCACACUGGAACUGAGACACGGUCCAGACUCCUACGGUAGGCAGCAGUGGAGAAUAUUAGACGAUGGACGAAAGCCUGAUCCAGCCAAGCCGCGUGUGUGAAGAAGGUCUUCGGAUUGUAAAGCACUUUAAGUUGGGGGAAAGGGCAGUAAGUUAAUACCUUGCUGUUUUGACGGUACCAGCAGAAUAAGCACCGGCUAACUUCGUG